Molecule: non-coding RNA, 76 nt
Organism: Cenococcum geophilum 1.58
Lineage: Eukaryota; Fungi; Ascomycota; Dothideomycetes; Gloniales; Gloniaceae
Source: the annotation of a GenBank genome assembly
GGGUUGGCGCAAUGGUAGCGCGUGCCCCUCCUAAAUAUUAAGGGCAAGGCUACAAGUACAAGUCUUGUAUCGGUCG